Molecule: microRNA precursor, 207 nt
Filed under: Oryza barthii
Lineage: Eukaryota; Viridiplantae; Streptophyta; Magnoliopsida; Poales; Poaceae
Description: MIR812 microRNA precursor family
Rfam family: MIR812 microRNA precursor family
Source: Rfam by way of RNAcentral
AAUAAGUACAGUCGUGGAUAUCCGUGUCCAAUGUUUGACCGUCCGUCUUAUUUGAAAAAUUUAUGAAAAAUUUAAAAAUAUUUAGUCGCACAUAAAGUACUAUUCAUGUUUUAUCAUCUAAUAGUAAUAAAAAUACUAAUCAUAAUUUUUUUCAAAUAAAACGAACGGUCAAACGUUAAACGUGAAUAGUGUAAAACAACACUUAUU